RNAcentral lists this ribosomal RNA (404 nucleotides) under Actinomycetes bacterium. RNAcentral describes it as "Actinobacteria bacterium partial 16S ribosomal RNA". It matches the Rfam family "Bacterial small subunit ribosomal RNA", at positions 355 to 776 of the family's 1533-position model. The record is from RNAcentral. Lineage: Bacteria; Bacillati; Actinomycetota; Actinomycetes.
UGGGGAAUAUUGGACAAUGGGCGCAAGCCUGAUCCAGCCAUGCCGCGUGAGUGAUGAAGGCCCUAGGGUUGUAAAGCUCUUUCACCGGUGAAGAUAAUGACGGUAACCGGAGAAGAAGCCCCGGCUAACUUCGUGCCAGCAGCCGCGGUAAUACGAAGGGGGCUAGCGUUGUUCGGAUUUACUGGGCGUAAAGCGCACGUAGGCGGACUAUUAAGUCAGGGGUGAAAUCCCGGGGCUCAACCCCGGAACUGCCUUUGAUACUGGUAGUCUUGAGUUCGAGAGAGGUGAGUGGAAUUCCGAGUGUAGAGGUGAAAUUCGUAGCUAUUCGGAGGAACACCAGUGGCGAAGGCGGCUCACUGGCUCGUUACUGACGCUGGGGUGCGAAAGCGUGGGGAGCAAACAGG